AAGGCUGAAACUCAAAGGAAUUGACGGGGGCCCGCACAAGCGGUGGAGCAUGUGGUUCAAUUCGACGCAACGCGAAGAACCUUACCUGGGCUCGAAGCGCAGUGGAAUCCGGUGGAAACAUCGGAGCCCGCAAGGGCUGCUGCGGAGGUGCUGCAUGGCUGUCGUCAGCUCGUGUCGUGAGAUGUUGGGUUAAGUCCCGCAACGAGCGCAACCCUUAUCGUUAGUUGCCAUCGGGUUAUGCCGGGCACUCUAGCGAAACCGCCUCGGAUAACGGGGAGGAGGGUGGGGAUGACGUCAAGUCCUCAUGGCCUUUAUGUCCAGGGCUACACACGUGCUACAAUGGCCGGUACAAACCGUCGCAAACCCGUGAGGGGGAGCUAAUCGGAAAAAGCCGGCCUCAGUUCGGAUCGGAGUCUGCAACUCGACUCCAUGAAGCUGGAAUCGCUAGUAAUCGCAGAUCAGAACGCUGCGGUGAAUACGUUCCCGGGCCUUGUACACACCGCCCGUCACAUCACGAAAGUGGGUGAUACUAGAAGUCGUUUCGUCAACCCGCAAGGGGGACUGACGCCCAAGGUAUGACUCAUGAUUGGGGUG
RNAcentral lists this ribosomal RNA (594 nucleotides) under uncultured Acidobacteriota bacterium. RNAcentral describes it as "bacterial SSU rRNA". It matches the Rfam family "Bacterial small subunit ribosomal RNA", at positions 890 to 1482 of the family's 1533-position model. Lineage: Bacteria; Pseudomonadati; Acidobacteriota. The record is from RNAcentral.